Molecule: non-coding RNA, 190 nt
Filed under: Clostridium saudiense
Lineage: Bacteria; Bacillati; Bacillota; Clostridia; Eubacteriales; Clostridiaceae
Description: SAM riboswitch (S box leader)
Rfam family: SAM riboswitch aptamer (S box leader)
About the family: The SAM riboswitch is found upstream of a number of genes which code for proteins involved in methionine or cysteine biosynthesis in Gram-positive bacteria. The SAM riboswitch acts at the level of transcription termination control. The predicted structure consists of a complex stem-loop region followed by a single stem loop terminator region.
Source: RNAcentral
UCUUAUCCAGAGAGGUGGAGGGAUAAAGGCCCUGUGAAACCCGGCAACCUAUUAACAGUUAAAAGUUAAUAGUUAAGAUUAGAGAAAACUAUUAGGAUUUCAUCUAUAACUAUGAACUAUAAACUAAGAAUUAUUAACUAGGUUAAUGUGGUGCAAAUUCCUGCAGAACAAUUAAGUUUGCAAGAUAAGA